ACCAAAGGAUAAACUAGGGAGGG
RNAcentral lists this non-coding RNA (23 nucleotides) under Arabidopsis thaliana (thale cress). The record is from RNAcentral. Lineage: Eukaryota; Viridiplantae; Streptophyta; Magnoliopsida; Brassicales; Brassicaceae.